GUUAGGAAUAUUGGACAAUGGGCGCAAGCCUGAUCCAGCCAUGCCGCGUGAGUGAUGAAGGCCUUCGGGUUGUAAAGCUCUUUAGCCGAUGAUUAUAAUGACUGUAGUCGGAAAAUAAGCCCCGGCUAACUUCGUGCCAGCAGCCGCGGUAAUACGAAGGGGGCGAGCGUUAUUCGGAAUCACUGGGCGUAAAGCGUGCGUAGGCGGCUUUGCAAGUUGGGAGUGAAAGCCCAGGGCUCAACCCUGGAAUUGCUCUCAAAACUGCAAGGCUCGAAUUCGGGAGAGGAUAGCGGAAUUGUCAGUGUAGCAGUGAAAUGCGUAGAUAUUGACAGGAACACCAGUGGCGUAAGCGGCUAUCUGGACUGAUACUGACACUGAGGUGCGAAAGCGUGGGGAGCAAACAGGAUUAGAAACCCCGGUAGUCC
Molecule: ribosomal RNA, 425 nt
Filed under: uncultured bacterium
Lineage: Bacteria
Description: partial 16S ribosomal RNA
Rfam family: Bacterial small subunit ribosomal RNA
Source: RNAcentral